AGAGGAUAGCUGGGUUAAAUGGUGGAUCCAUUCCCAGCUUUCCAAGGAAUCUCCAUACUGCUUUCCAUAUUGGUUGCUCCAUUUUGCAUUCCCACCAGCAAU
RNAcentral lists this microRNA precursor (102 nucleotides) under Marmota monax (woodchuck). Lineage: Eukaryota; Metazoa; Chordata; Mammalia; Rodentia; Sciuridae. The record is from RNAcentral.